CUACGGGGCGCUGCAGUGGGGAAUAUUGCACAAUGGGCGCAAGCCUGAUGCAGCAACGCCGCGUGAGGGAUGAAGGCCUUCGGGUUGUAAACCUCUUUUAGCAGGGAAGAAGCGAAAGUGACGGUACCUGCAGAAAAAGCACCGGCUAACUACGUGCCGGCAGCCGCGGUAAUACGUAGGGUGCAAGCGUUGUCCGGAAUUAUUGGGCGUAAAGAGCUCGUAGGCGGUUUGUCACGUCUGCUGUGAAAAUCCAAGGCUCAACCUUGGACUUGCAGUGGGUACGGGCAGGCUAGAGUGCGGUAGGGGAGAGGGGAAUUCCUGGUGUAGCGGUGAAAUGCGCAGAUAUCAGGAGGAACACCAAUGGCGAAGGCACAUCUCUGGGCCGUAACUGACGCUGAGGAGCGAAAGCGUGGGGAGCGAACAGGAUUAGAUACCCCUGUAGUC
This 444-nucleotide ribosomal RNA is filed under the name uncultured bacterium. RNAcentral describes it as "partial 16S ribosomal RNA". It matches the Rfam family "Bacterial small subunit ribosomal RNA", at positions 339 to 795 of the family's 1533-position model. The record is from RNAcentral.